RNAcentral lists this ribosomal RNA (432 nucleotides) under uncultured bacterium. RNAcentral describes it as "bacterial SSU rRNA". It matches the Rfam family "Bacterial small subunit ribosomal RNA", at positions 29 to 507 of the family's 1533-position model. The record is from RNAcentral.
AACGAACGCUGGCGGCAUGCCUUACACAUGCAAGUCGAACGCUAUCUUUGAUAGAGUGGCGCACGGGUGAGUAACGCGUGGGAACCUGCCUUUCACUGCGGGACAACGGUUGGAAACGACCGCUAAUACCGCAUACGCCCUACGGGGGAAAGAUUUAUCGGUGAUAGAGGGGCCCGCGUCUGAUUAGCUUGUUGGUAGGGUAAUGGCCUACCAAGGCGACGAUCGGUAGCUGGUCUGAGAGGAUGAUCAGCCACACUGGGACUGAGACACGGCCCAGACUCCUACGGGAGGCAGCAGUGGGGAAUAUUGGACAAUGGGGGCAACCCUGAUCCAGCAAUGCCGCGUGUGUGAUGAAGGCCUUAGGGUUGUAAAGCACUUUCACUGGUGAAGAUGAUGACGGUAACCAGAGAAGAAGCCCCGGCUAACUUCGUG